RNAcentral lists this long non-coding RNA (936 nucleotides) under Amborella trichopoda. Its description in RNAcentral is "long non-coding RNA (ATRI_LNC003673)". The record is from RNAcentral. Lineage: Eukaryota; Viridiplantae; Streptophyta; Magnoliopsida; Amborellales; Amborellaceae.
UCUCUCUCUCUCUCUCUCUCUCUCUCUCUCUCUCUCGUCUAAAGCCACGAACCCACACCUAGGGGGGGCCGGCUUUCCUCCCCUUCUUUUCUCUCAUCUCACUCUCUCCCUCUCAUCUCAAGUGACGGACCCGCGCCUUAGGCGGGUCCGCUCAACUCUUUCUCCCUUUCACUCUCUUGCUUAUUUCUCAUCCACCCCUCUCAUCUUGCACCUCUCAUCUGCCCCUCUCACCCAUCAUCCUCUGAUCCGCCCCUCUCCCCUAUACGCCCUAUCCGCCCUACUCACUUCAUAUCCCUAUACGCCCCAUCCGCCCUACUCACUCCGUACCCCUAUAUGCCCCAUUCGCCCUACUCACUCCAUACCCUAUACGCCCCAUCAUCCCUACUCACUUUAUAACCUCAUACUACUCGCCCUAUCCAUCCUAUCCGCCUUAUUCACCCUACUUGCCCUAUCCACCCCGCUUGCCCUAUCCGCCCUAUACCCCCUAUCCACCCUAUAUGUCCUAUCCACCCUCUCUUUCCCUAUACACUCUAUCCCCCCCCUUGUGAGCCUAGACCCAUACCUCAAGUAGGUCCCUUGACUUCACCCUUCUUUCACUCUCUUCCCUCUUUAAACCAUAUUUUAAACUCCUCAUUCACUUUACUUUGCUUUUCAUUUCAUCAUUAUCUUCAUUUCUCCAUUUGCUCUUUGCUUCUUUCACUCUCAAGCAUUCGAUUCGAGGUCGUCCUGAGAUGGUGCUCUAGGUUUUUAACUCUCGGAUUGCUACUCUAACCAUCAACUCGUACAAUGAAGUCGGGUCAAAAGAGACACUAUUCUCUUACACUCGAGUCGGGGUCUUCUUGAGUUAACUUUCUUUAGAAUUCUAACCCUCCCACUACUCUAACCACCGAGUCACACAGUACUCAAGUCGUGAGGGGCUUUCAUAUCUCUCUUUCC